GACGAACGCUGGCGGCGUGCUUAACACAUGCAAGUCGUACGGUAAGGCCCUUUCGGGGGUCCACGAGUGGCGAACGGGUGAGUAACACGUGAGUAACCUGCCCACAACUUUGGGAUAACGCUAGGAAACUGGUGCUAAUACUGGAUAUGUGCUCCUGCUGCAUGGUGGGGGUUGGAAAGCUCCGGCGGUUGUGGAUGGACUCGCGGCCUAUCAGCUUGUUGGUGGGGUAGUGGCCUACCAAGGCGGCGACGGGUAGCCGGCCUGAGAGGGUGACCGGCCACAUUGGGACUGAGAUACGGCCCAGACUCCUACGGGAGGCAGCAGUGGGGAAUAUUGCACAAUGGGCGCAAGCCUGAUGCAGCAACGCCGCGUGCGGGAUGACGGCCUUCGGGUUGUAAACCGCUUUCAGCAGGGACGAAGCUUUUUGUGACGGUACCUGCAGAAGAAGCACCGGCUAACUUCGUG
Molecule: ribosomal RNA, 465 nt
Filed under: uncultured bacterium
Lineage: Bacteria
Description: partial 16S ribosomal RNA
Rfam family: Bacterial small subunit ribosomal RNA
Source: RNAcentral